Molecule: ribosomal RNA, 499 nt
Filed under: uncultured bacterium
Lineage: Bacteria
Description: bacterial SSU rRNA
Rfam family: Bacterial small subunit ribosomal RNA
Source: RNAcentral
ACGAACGCUGGCGGCGUGCCUAAUACAUGCAAGUCGAGCGGAAUGAUGAAGAAGCUUGCUUCUUCUGAUUUUAGCGGCGGACGGGUGAGUAACACGUGGGCAACCUACCUUGUAGAUUGGGAUAACUCCGGGAAACCGGGGCUAAUACCGAAUAAUCCAUUUUGCUUCAUGGCGAGAUGUUGAAAGACGGUUUCGGCUGUCACUACAAGAUGGGCCCGCGGCGCAUUAGCUAGUUGGUAGGGUAAUGGCCUACCAAGGCAACGAUGCGUAGCCGACCUGAGAGGGUGAUCGGCCACACUGGAACUGAGACACGGUCCAGACUCCUACGGGAGGCAGCAGUAGGGAAUCAUCCGCAAUGGGCGAAAGUCUGAUGGAGCAACGCCGCGUGAGUGAAGAAGGUUUUCGGAUCGUAAAACUCUGUUGUAAGGGAAGAACACGUACGAGAGUAACUGCUCGUACCUUGACGGUACCUUAUUAGAAAGCCACGGCUAACUACGUG